This 253-nucleotide ribosomal RNA is filed under the name uncultured bacterium. RNAcentral describes it as "partial 16S ribosomal RNA". It matches the Rfam family "Bacterial small subunit ribosomal RNA", at positions 524 to 776 of the family's 1533-position model. The record is from RNAcentral.
UACGUAGGGGGCAAGCGUUGUCCGGAAUUACUGGGCGUAAAGCGCGUGUAGGCGGUCUAUCAAGUCGGGUGUGAAAGCCCUCAGCUCAACUGAGGAAGUGCGCCCGAAACUGGUGGACUUGAGUGCCGGAGAGGAUGGCGGAAUACCCCAAGUAGAGGUGAAAUUCGUAGAUAUGGGGUGGAACACCGGUGGCGAAGGCGGCCAUCUGGACGGUAACUGACGCUGAGACGCGAAAGCGUGGGGAGCAAACAGG